UUAAACCGAUAAACAAUAACAAUACCAGCGAUACAACUUCAACAACCAGCAAUAACAACGCAGCAACUCCAGCGUACAAACACUCCUUAGAAACACAACGUACAACACCCGCGACAAUAGUAAAAUCUGAUAACCAGCUAUGAUAACUCAACUCGUACAAGCCAACAUUCGACAACAACAAACAAUGUUCCGCAACUUCAAACCGUGAACCCGACCCGCCCAGCUCAGCACAACAAUGUAGCACUCAAUCUGUUGGAAAUUUCCAAUUCGAAUCUGUACGAAUUGUAAGAUGUUUAGCCACCUCAAAUCUUAUCUCCAAUUUGAAAUCUCCAAAACACCCCCGAAUUUCCAAUCCCACAUCGGUAGAUGCUAGAAAUUUCAUUCCUAUUCUUUUUUAUAAAUAACUACUGUUUUGGUUGGAAGAAGAGCUAUGGAAUUAGCUUAGAACCCCAAUUGAAAGGGAUUUUGCUAAAAUUAAAAAAAUUCUCAGGCUAAAUCCUUGUAAGAUCGUUCGGCUUAGGAUUUCGGCUAGAGAAUUUAAUUUCGAGUUUCGAUGGUGCAAAGAGAAUCCGACAAUUCGUAGUCCCAGUGAGCUACUCCGAAAAAGAGAUUCCUAAUACCUUAUCUUUUCCUUUGGAGUAUGUGACAUCGACUCACAUCCGCGUGGACUCCUUUUCCCGCAUUUUCUCGGGACCAAGUCCCUCCCCUAUCGAGUCAAGCUUUCUCAAAGUUUAAAAUGGACCAAAUACAUCAAGAAACAAGGAUGUAUACAAAUAAUACAACGAAGAUACAUUAUACACAGGUGGUGGAAGCUGAUUUACAGGUUCAAAGAAGUAAGAAAUGGAAGAAGGAAGCUGGUAUACAAAGCUGCAAGAUGAUAUACAGUGUGUAUACAGCCAAAAUGUGAAAAAAGAUGAACUGAUAUACAGCUGGUAUACAGUUGAAAAGGGGCUAAAAAGAGUCCGUAAUUCAAAGUCCAAAGGCUGGGCAGAAUUUGAAAAUGGGCUAAAAAGGGCCCAAAUCUCAUCUUUUUCCUUCAUUUGCUUGUAUUUACUUGAUUAUUUGCUUAUAAUUUAAUUUAAUAUAGAUAAAUCUUCAGGGAGUAA
This is a long non-coding RNA of Capsicum annuum, 1106 nucleotides long. RefSeq lists it as uncharacterized. The record is from RefSeq and is a predicted model, not a curated record. The transcript is spliced from 2 exons. NCBI's taxonomy places the organism in Eukaryota, Viridiplantae, Streptophyta, Magnoliopsida, Solanales, Solanaceae.